UAGGUCAAUGGAACCCCAUUCCUGCAUCCCGAACUAGUCCUUCUGUUUCUCAUUUGUUUUUUGCUGAUGACUUGAUUUUAUUUUCUGAGGCUACUGUUCGUCAAGCUGGUGUUAUGAAGCAGUGCAUGGACAUAUUCUGCAACUUAUCUGGUCAGACUGUGAAUUUUGACAAAUCCAUGGUUUAGUGCUCCCCUAAUGUAAAUGUCAAUUUGGCAAAACAGAUCAGUGAUGUGUGUGGCUCUCCCCUAACUAAAGAUUUGGAAAAGUACCUUGGAAUGCCUUUGAUUUAUUCCAGAGUAACAAAGAAUACUUAUGCCUCUAUCACUGAUAAGGUUCAGUAUCGUUUGGCUAGCUGGAAGAGUAAGAUUGUUUGACUGGGAGGUAGACUCUAAUUCAGGCUGUGUCAGCUGCAAUUACUCUCUAUGCAAUGCAGACAGCAAAACUACCAGUGCAUACUUGGAAUAAGUUGGAUAAGUUGAAUCGGGAUUUUCUUUGGGGAGACACUGAUCAGAAGAGGAAAAUUCAUCUCACUAAUUGGGACAUUGUUUGUAAAUCCAAGGUUAAUGGUGGUUGUGAACUAAGAAGGCUACUGAUAUGAAGAAAGCUAUGCUUGCGAAGGCACGCUGGAGGAUAACUCAGGGAGAUCAAGGUCUAUGGUGUAGAAUUUUUCAAGAAAAAUACCCAAAAUAUGACUCUUUAUUACAACAUAGCUAUCGGAAGCCAAAAAAUUAUUCUAGUACUUGGAUGGGAUUGUUUAUGAUGCUGAGCUUCUCAGGAAAGGUCUUUACUGGAGGAUUGGCUAUGGUAUUGAUGUAAAAUUCUGGUAUGAUAAAUGUUCCUCGGUUGGUGUGUAAAGCCAAAUUGUUUGUAUUCUUAGACAUUCUAACCAUAUGUCUACUGUUCAAGAUUUUUGGUGUAAUGGGGUCCUUGAUACACUCAUUUGGAGAGGUACUUCUUCUGGAGUUUUUACAGUUAAAUCGGCUUAUCAGCUUCUUUGUGAUGAACCAGACCAAUCAAGUAAUAAGUGGAAUCUGGUUUGGACCAUUCCUAUCCCUCCCAAAAUUAAAAUGUUCAUAUUGCUUGUGCUGCAAGGGAAAAUCCCUACCAAUGUUCAAAGAUUCAGACGAAACAUGGCUGCUGAUUCUUUUUGUCACUUGUGGCGAUAAGGAGGAUACUUUACUUCACUUGUUCAGGGAUUGCCCCACAGCUCGUAAGGUUUGACAAGCUUUUAAUAUUCCUUUAAACAUGAGGCUUACUUUCAAUUAGAUUGGAUGAGUUGGUUAUGUGCCAAUAUCUAUCAAAAGCAUACUUUUCUGAAUAUGCAGUGUGGAAUGUCUUCUUCAUCUUUUGUUGUUGGUUCAUUUGGAAGUGGAGGUGUAAUGGUAUUUUUUAUCAGAAUUUCUGUACUCCCUUCAAUAUAUAUAUAUGAUGUAAUUAUUGGUUAUGCUGAUGAGUGGUUUAGUGCAAAUAUCAAACCCCUUGUGCAGAAAGAUAUGCAGAUUGAAGCAGGGGGAUAAAUCAGCAAAGAGAUUGUUAACAACAUCAAUUUUUGGUUGGUAGGAAUCAUUCAGUCUAAUAUUGAAUGAGAUGCAAGAAAACAUAUCACUGGUGUUCUAUUCUAGUCGAUUUAUCUCUCAGGUUUGGCUAAGUUUCUCUCUAUAAUUUUUUUUUUAAUACAAAUUAUGAGUGAUAUCCCCUCUCCAAUUUAUCUUUUUUGUUUCUUAUAUAAAGACUUCCAAGUUCACAAGGCACCCAACUUAAACAAUUUCAAUAAUUAUUUUGACUGUUAUGUAACUUAAAUGUUCCUCAAAUUGGUUGGUUCUUUAUUCUCCAGCAAUGAACUGUGAACUUACCAUGGACAUUAUGGUUCAUAGGUUGGGUCAUUUGUCAUCAGAGCUUAACUCAAUGCAUUCUUUAAUUUUAAUUAUUUGAAUUGCUUAACCAUUUACCUAUCCAUCAUAAGCCUAUAUGUCAUUCUGGUUCAUGUAUGUCACAAAAUGAAAUCUUUUUUUUUUUGUUAAAUAAAUUGAAACUAAUUUGCUUUUGAGGUUGCUACAGUACUCUUACUGGUACAAACGUAACAAUGAGUGUGUUCUGACUCUAGAUAAUCUUGGUGAGCAGGUUGGAACUGUAAAUUUUUAGUCAUCCAUUGCCUGUCUUCACUUACACAUUUUGUUGCUGUUAGAUUUGGUCAGAGAUGCAGAAUGGUUUCUUGCCAAACUUCAUCCUUUUCAAUACCAUCCAGCGUUUUAACGAUCAGCAAAGUUUCCUCUUGUUCCUAUUCAAAAGUCAUCAGUUUCCAAUUUUCCAUGCCAAGCCUAGUUUCUAUUGCGGUACUCAAGGAAGCAAAAAUUCUUGAUCACUAAAUCUGUUAAAGUAAUAUGCAAUUCAUAUGGUUUGUGACCAGUAUCACGUUUUUCUUUAGUGUAUAUAUAAGAAUCCUCUAUAUCACCUUUUGUGAUUGCUGUAAAAAAAUUGCUAUUAAUAAGCUAGAUGAAAACAAGUUUUACUAACUUUAUUGUGUUACUGUUUUCAUGUAAGGAUUUAAAUGCAGUUCAUCAGAGUUUUGCAAGGUUGCACAAUGGAUUUUUUGGGAUGUCUCACAUGUUUUCCAUUGUAAAGCAUCUAGGGUCCAGAUCGUUGCCCUGGCUAAUCCAUGCACUAGAGAUCAUAUAUCAAACAAGACAGCUACCCUGGAAACCUUGAUUACAGGAUUGCAAGAAGCAUUACCAAAAUCUAUUGGACUGCUUCCUUUUGAUGAAGGCGUGACAGGUAUAUGUGCUUGCACAGGUUGUAUGAGGCUUGUUAAAGAAAAGCUUACCUGGAAACCAAAUCAGAGCUCAAAGGAGAAGUUCUUAGUGAUUGAUAUAAAGGAGAUUGGAAGUGUAUUAUAUUGGCUGGGGAUUCUUGAUAUCGUAUUGGUUAGUGAUCUAAGUUUUUCAUUUUACAACUUAAUUAAGGAUGCUUCCAUGUUGGUAUUUACUUAUGUUCUUAUAUUCACACAAAUUAUACUAGGGACUUCAAAAAUGUAAUGCAAACAGUACA
This is a long non-coding RNA of Rosa rugosa (rugosa rose), 3045 nucleotides long. RefSeq lists it as uncharacterized. Lineage: Eukaryota; Viridiplantae; Streptophyta; Magnoliopsida; Rosales; Rosaceae. The record is from RefSeq and is a predicted model, not a curated record. The transcript has 3 exons.